GUCCAUCGCCAAAAGGUGUUACGCGUAAAGACAGACAAUCAGCUUAGCGCUAUGAAUGAAAACCAAUUCAUGAUUACCGCCAGGCGACGUAUUCCGCAACUGAUUGAAAGCGUACCUUGCCAUGAGGGG
Molecule: long non-coding RNA, 129 nt
Organism: Perca fluviatilis (European perch)
Lineage: Eukaryota; Metazoa; Chordata; Actinopteri; Perciformes; Percidae
Exons: 3
Source: RefSeq, a predicted model, not a curated record